CCGCACGGUGAGUAACACGUAUGCAAUCCACCUGUAACAGGGGGAUAACCCGGAGAAAUCCGGACUAAUACCCCAUAAUAUGGGCGCUCCGCAUGGAGAGCCCAUUAAAGAGAGCAAUUUUGGUUACAGACGAGCAUGCGCUCCAUUAGCCAGUUGGCGGGGUAACGGCCCACCAAGGCGACGAUGGAUAGGGGUUCUGAGAGGAAGGUCCCCCACAUUGGAACUGAGACACGGUCCAA
RNAcentral lists this ribosomal RNA (239 nucleotides) under uncultured bacterium. RNAcentral's name for it is "partial 16S ribosomal RNA". It matches the Rfam family "Bacterial small subunit ribosomal RNA", at positions 105 to 334 of the family's 1533-position model. The record is from RNAcentral.